RNAcentral lists this transfer-messenger RNA (371 nucleotides) under chicken gut metagenome. It matches the Rfam family "transfer-messenger RNA". From Rfam's summary of the family: Bacterial tmRNA, also known as 10Sa RNA or SsrA, is named for its dual tRNA and mRNA-like properties. Its role is to liberate the mRNA from a stalled ribosome. The record is from RNAcentral.
GGGGUAGCACCGGUUUCGAUUGCCGGUGCGCGGAAAAGUAAGCAUGCAGAGGAACGAGUGGCCUCUAUAAAACAUUCGGCCUAAAUUUAAAUGCAGAUAAUGCAAACAACAACGCUAACGCUCAGUUGGCGUACGCUGCUUAAUUUAUAAGCAGUUCGUCUGUGCCUUUUUCCCUCCGAGAGGAUGCAGGCGUCAAUUAGGAGGGGAACUGCCGUUUUGAGGUGAAGUCGGCAAAGCGGUUGAUUUUUGAUUUCUGCCGAAUGUUCCCUUCGGUCGCAGAGGGGCAUUCGUAAGAUAAUUGCGGCAUAAGCAUGUAGAAAGCUUUUUGGCAAUCCGGUAAGACGCGAGUUCAACUCUCGCCUACUCCACCA